GGAGAACUCCUUGAACCUGGGAGGCAGAGGUUGCAGUGAGCCGAGAUCGCGCCAUUGCACUCCAGCCUGGGCGACAGAG
RNAcentral lists this small nuclear RNA (79 nucleotides) under Homo sapiens (human). RNAcentral's name for it is "partial ncRNA". Lineage: Eukaryota; Metazoa; Chordata; Mammalia; Primates; Hominidae. The record is from RNAcentral.